UAAGGGCAACUUCACCGGUGGUCCAAAUCCCGCGUUGGUUCCAAAUUUUUGGACCACGCUCAAAAUUGGAGCUUGCACCGGUGUUGCAAAUAAUGUUCCAAUUUUAUUUUAUACCAGUUUUCUGGUCUAUUUUUUUGGAACAGGCUAGCUGCGUGUUCUAUUUUUGGUCAGAUUUGGACCAAGAUUUGUGCUGUUCCAAAACUGGUUUGACAAAUGUUUGUUUACCCGUUCGGAUGUUUCUCGCUGAAGCAGUCACCGUCUUUAAUUCCUACUCAUUUGAGAUCUGAUUGGGGAAUUCGUGUUCCGGGAGGACCAGCGAGGCGGCGUCACGAAAUAAAAACGUAUCACACCUUGUGAAAACGCGACGACACGGAAACCAUCAUCACACCGACGGUCGAUUAAUCGAUCGGAAUUGGCCAGGCGGAUCCAGUUUGGUGGUUCGAUGCGAAAAACUCGCGGCACACUUUCGACUUUUUAGCUGUGGUCACAAAGGUUGAACCGAACUCCGCGUUCCGAGAUGCAAAUCCGGAAAACUGACCAAAUGAUGCGAAAGCAAGCGGUCACUCCACGGCUGUCGUCAAUUGAUGAGUUGAGAGUUCAAGCUAGUGACUUUCGACCUGAAACGGAUGCCUCUCGGAAUGCGGUGUUCUUUUCGCUUUUUGGUGUACCUUUUUUGGGUACCUUAAUUAAGGAAAAGGCCAACUGGUCGCACCUCUUGAUCUUCAGCUGAAUGAGUUCCUGAAAAUCCGGCACUUUUCGAGUGCACUGAAUGACCAGCAUGAGGAUAAUCAUCAGCACGCUGCAAACGGAAAUGGAAUCUCUACCAAAAUGGGCCAAUCAUUCAAC
Aedes aegypti (yellow fever mosquito) is the source of this 846-nucleotide long non-coding RNA. RefSeq lists it as uncharacterized. The record is from RefSeq and is a predicted model, not a curated record. The transcript is spliced from 2 exons. NCBI's taxonomy places the organism in Eukaryota, Metazoa, Arthropoda, Insecta, Diptera, Culicidae.